AGAGUUUGAUCCUGGCUCAGAACGAACGCUGGCGGCAGGCUUAACACAUGCAAGUCGAACGCCCCGCAAGGGGAGUGGCAGACGGGUGAGUAACACGUGGGAACGUGCCCUAAGGUACGGAACAACUCCGGGAAACUGGAGCUAAUACCGUAUGUGCCCGAGAGGGGAAAGAUUUAUCGCCUUGGGAUCGGCCCGCGUCUGAUUAGCUAGUUGGUAGGGUAAUGGCCUACCAAGGCUACGAUCAGUAGCUGGUCUGAGAGGAUGGCCAGCCACACUGGGACUGAGACACGGCCCAGACUCCUACGGGAGGCAGCAGUGGGGAAUAUUGGACAAUGGGCGAAAGCCUGAUCCAGCCAUGCCGCGUGAGUGAUGAAGGCCUUAGGGUUGUAAAGCUCUUUCGGCGGGGACGAUAAUGACGGUACCCGCAGAAGAAGCCCCGGCUAACUUCGUGCCAGCAGCCGCGGUAAUACGAAGGGGGCUAGCGUUGUUCGGAAUUACUGGGCGUAAAGCGUAUGCAGGCGGAUCGUUAAGUCGGGGGUGAAAUCCCGAGGCUCAACCUCGGAACUGCCUUCGAUACUGGCGAUCUUCGAGUCCGGGAGAGGUGAGUGGAACUCCGAGUGUAGAGGUGAAAUUCGUAGAUAUUCGGAAGAACACCAGUGGCGAAGGCGGCUCACUGGCCCGGUACUGACGCUGAGAUACGAAAGCGUGGGGAGCAAACAGGAUUAGAUACCCCGGUAGUCC
Molecule: ribosomal RNA, 741 nt
Filed under: uncultured bacterium
Lineage: Bacteria
Description: bacterial SSU rRNA
Rfam family: Bacterial small subunit ribosomal RNA
Source: RNAcentral